GAUGAAGAACGCAGUGAAAUGCGAUACUUGGUGUGAAUUGCAGAAUCCCGUGAACCAUCGAGUCUUUGAACGCAAGUUGCGCCCGAAGCCACUAGGCCGAGGGCACGCCUGCCUGGGCGUCACACGCCGUUGCCCCCCCAUCUACUCCUUCGGGAUUGCGGGGGGGCGGAUGAUGGCCUCCCGUGCGCCUAGCCGCGCGGUUGGCAUAAAUACCAAGUCCUCGGCGACGCACGCCACGACAAUCGGUGGUUGCGAAACCUCGGUUGCCCGUCGUGUGCGUUCGUCGCGCAUCGAGGGCUCGAAAAAAUGCUCGGCUCCGGCUGGGCUUUCAACGCGACCCCAGGUCAGGAGGGGUUACCCGCUGAAUUUAAGCAUAUCAAUAAGCGGAGGA
RNAcentral lists this unclassified non-coding RNA (391 nucleotides) under soil metagenome. RNAcentral describes it as "partial contains 5.8S ribosomal RNA, internal transcribed spacer 2, and large subunit ribosomal RNA". The stretch from base 1 to 122 matches the Rfam family "5.8S ribosomal RNA", at positions 35 to 154 of the family's 154-position model. The record is from RNAcentral.